GCGGGCAGGCGGACGGGCUUGCAGGAAAUGCAGCCGGGAGGAUGAGCAGGUUGUGGGAUGCUCCGCCGUUCCGCGACCACCCGCCUCCCCGGCCCAGCAGAACCGGGUCCAGGCUGGGGGAGGUGCUAGUGGUGUUUUAAGUCCACCUGGCCUGGAGGAGGACAGGUGUGCAAAAGAAAAUAUCUCAGGACCCCCAAACUCCUUAUGCCAAGGGAAACAUCAAGCCUGGGAACUGAGCCAUCAACCCUGCCAUGCUUUUUCCCAAACAGAUCCCUGUUGUCAGAGGCACAUCCAGAGCAACUCCACACCAGGUGCAUGCCACAGCAACUCCAUCUUAAAUAGGAGCUGGUAAAACGAGGCUGAUACCUACUGGGCUGCAUUCCCAGACGGCAUAGCGAGGAGGUGCUGAAGAGCGCAGGUUUGGAGAAUAAUCACCUGGAUUGGAACCAUAGCUCUACCAAUAUGGAACCCAGCUCCUUAAGCCUCAGUCUUCUCAUGGAGAACAUGGUGUGAUAAUCCUACUCCUCUGGGAGGGUGGCUGUUAAGCCUUGGACUGCAGUUGCUGGCCAGGAAUCCCAGCGUCGCAGUGGACACGCCUCCCUCGCGCCCUUGCCGCCCACCUGCUCACCCAGCUCAGGGGCUUUGGAAUUCUGUUGCCACACUGCUGGGAGAUCGGUUCUGGGUCGGAGGCUACAUGAAAACUCCCACUCCCUGAAAUCUGGAGUGGAGAACACCGCCAUCCAGCCACCAUUCCAAG
This 757-nucleotide small RNA is filed under the name Pongo abelii (Sumatran orangutan). RNAcentral describes it as "processed transcript". Lineage: Eukaryota; Metazoa; Chordata; Mammalia; Primates; Hominidae. The record is from RNAcentral.